AUUGAACGCUGGCGGCAUGCCUUACACAUGCAAGUCGAACGGCAGCACGGGAGCAAUCCUGGUGGCGAGUGGCGAACGGGUGAGUAAUACAUCGGAACGUGCCCAAUCGUGGGGGAUAACGCAGCGAAAGCUGUGCUAAUACCGCAUACGAUCUACGGAUGAAAGCAGGGGAUCGCAAGACCUUGCGCGAAUGGAGCGGCCGAUGGCAGAUUAGGUAGUUGGUGAGGUAAAGGCUCACCAAGCCGUCGAUCUGUAGCUGGUCUGAGAGGACGACCAGCCACACUGGGACUGAGACACGGCCCAGACUCCUACGGGAGGCAGCAGUAGGGAAUUUUGGACAAUGGGCGAAAGCCUGAUCCAGCCAUGCCGCGUGCAGGAUGAAGGCCUUCGGGUUGUAAACUGCUUUUGUACGGAACGAAACGGCCUUUUCUAAUAAAGAGGGCUAAUGACGGUACCGUAAGAAUAAGCACCGGCUAACUACGUGCCAGCAGCCGCGGUAAUACGUAGGGUGCAAGCGUUAAUCGGAAUUACUGGGCGUAAAGCGUGCGCAGGCGGUUAUGUAAGACAGUUGUGAAAUCCCCGGGCUCAACCUGGGAACUGCAUCUGUGACUGCAUAGCUAGAGUACGGUAGAGGGGGAUGGAAUUCCGCGUGUAGCAGUGAAAUGCGUAGAUAUGCGGAGGAACACCGAUGGCGAAGGCAAUCCCCUGGACCUGUACUGACGCUCAUGCACGAAAGCGUGGGGAGCAAACAGG
Molecule: ribosomal RNA, 753 nt
Filed under: uncultured Comamonadaceae bacterium
Lineage: Bacteria; Pseudomonadati; Pseudomonadota; Betaproteobacteria; Burkholderiales; Comamonadaceae
Description: bacterial SSU rRNA
Rfam family: Bacterial small subunit ribosomal RNA
Source: RNAcentral